UAAGGCUUAUUUAUCCUCAAAUGUAAGUUGAUAAAAAGUAAAGGAAAUUCCUGUAAUGUUUUUCUUAAACAGAAAGCAUUGUAUAUAUAUGAUUGAAAAAACCUUGAGAUGUUUGAAGAAAGAUCAUUUAAAAGAUAAAGGCUCCUCUUAUUCAUAGCUUACAUUUUUUAAGAAGCUUUCUCAAAAGAAAUGUAUACAAUGCUCUGAUGUUCUGUGUGAUUAUCUGCAUAUUUGUGUUUUUCCUCAUUAUUUCUGCUCAAUAAGCAAGGUUAAAAUGCUUCAAUAUCUCUGUUAUUUGUACAACCAUCAUACUUUAUAUUUUCUGUGGCCUUAUUUUUAAAGCAAAGAAAGACUAGAGGGACAGGUGCUAUGGCAGCCUGCUAGGUUAAUCUUAUCUGUGCUUUGUCAGCCUCCUCACAAAACUUUAAAAAGUGUCAUGUCGGCUGGCUGUAACACUGUGACACUCAACAGACAUACGCAGAAGAGUUGAGAGGACGGAGGAGAGGGAGUAAGCGGAGAUUGAGACCGAAAAAGAGAAAUGAAACAAGAAGGUUGGGAGAGACAACUGUUGACAAAGGAAACACAAAUCCAUUGUAAAACAAACAGAAACAGGUGAAAUCUCGAGCACCUUCCUCGUCCUUUCUGUUUCCACCCACUGACUAUAUUAAAACCAUUCCCUGUUAAUAUAUCUAUUUUCUGCUCAUGAAAAGCUCUGUAUGUGUCACGAUAAAGGUGGAGGUGGUUUGUGAGGUCGGCCCCAGCAGAAUUUUACGAGACAAGCUGUGCUGAUAUAUGGCUGAAGGAGACUCCAUUAAAACGCUGGACCUGCGCCAUUUGGGGAAAAUGGAGGUCACUCAUGCUAGGGUCAUGUGACACCUAUAAAAUCAAACUUUUCCCUAAUAUCUGGCCAUAUAUCACCUCUUCCUCGUGUUUUUUAAUGUUUUUUUUUUCAUCUUUCUUCAACUGAUAUUCAAAUCCUAAAAAAUAGUUAUUGGGUGAGAAUGACAGUUUUUCCAAGAGGUGAAAUGGAUAGGGAGGGGGUGGGGGGUGCUGCAGGUUGUCCAUUUGUGCUUUUCCAUAAGAGAGCGAGGUAAUAUUUAGUUUUUGAUUAAUGUUCCGUAUCAAUCUGCAGAGGAGCAUAGGGAAACGAUCUGUUACGGUGCACUCUUAGAAAGACAAGAACAGCUGCACAGAGAUGUGGUUGACAGUCCCCUUUUUCUGUCACUGUCCUUUCACCUUCCCUUUUUUCCAUCACUCCCUGUCCUUCUUGAUUGAGCCUUUAUUUCUCCCUUUGGGUUUUGUAAUUAAAGUAACUUCAUUCCUUCUUCUGAAUCACCUUACACAUUUAAUUGUCUCUACACUCUAGUUUUCCACCUGUCAUUUUUUUUUUGUAAUGAUAUCACACUUAUCUUCUGGGUUUCUUUCCAGCUCCUGUUUCACCUCCUAUAGCAACACCUGCAAACCUAGAGAAACAUACCAUAUCUAUCCUCUACUUUCAUAUUCCUUACUUGUUUUGGAUCCCUUCUCUUUAUGUCUCUUUGGGCUAGGCUGUGUUUCCUGUGUGUCUCCCCCAUUGCUCCCAGCUCCCUAGGGCAUCAUUUCCAGGCUUCAUUUGUUUGAGGGCUUUCUAAUCUGGGCACUAGGACAACCUCAGUCCACCGUGCCCUCGUCAAUCAUCCCUACAGAGGAACAGAGAGAAGGUGAAGAAGGAGUAGAGAGGAGGAGGAAGAAGAGCGGAAGGGGGCUCACAAAAGGCCAGGAGACCGUUGGUGAAUAUUCUAAAAGGGCACAGGGCUGAGAUGGGCUUGAUGGGAGGCUUUGAUUUCUGGCUAAUAGCCACUUCAAACAGGCUGGGAUGGCUCUGAGACAGGGGAGGAAGAUGACACAAGGGCUAAAGGACAGAAAGACCCGACACCCACGUUCACAGAUUGCACGUAAAGAAGCAGACGGGGAAACUGAUGGACCGUGUGACUUAAAAGUAUUUAUUUAAUAAACUGGCGCAGAGCCACCGCACUGAUACUGGUGGACAUCCAGGGAGCUAUUGUUGAGAUAGGUGAGUUUUAAGUAUCUUGGUGUACACCUUAACUAUAAACUGGACUGGAGUAAUAACCCUCUUUGUGGAAAGGGUC
Molecule: long non-coding RNA, 2129 nt
Organism: Cyprinodon variegatus (sheepshead minnow)
Lineage: Eukaryota; Metazoa; Chordata; Actinopteri; Cyprinodontiformes; Cyprinodontidae
Exons: 3
Source: RefSeq, a predicted model, not a curated record